This 774-nucleotide ribosomal RNA is filed under the name uncultured Neocallimastigales. RNAcentral's name for it is "partial large subunit ribosomal RNA". It matches the Rfam family "Eukaryotic large subunit ribosomal RNA", at positions 23 to 637 of the family's 3401-position model. The record is from RNAcentral. Lineage: Eukaryota; Fungi; Neocallimastigomycota; Neocallimastigomycetes; Neocallimastigales.
AGAGAGAGACAUGCGCGCAUAUCAAUAAGCGGAGGAAAAGAAACUAACAAGGAUUCCCUUAGUAACGGCGAGUGAAGCGUGAAGAGCUCAAAUUUGAAAUCUUCAAGGUUUUACCUUGACGAAUUGUAGUUUAAAGAAGUGUUUUCUGUUGAGUUUUGGUAAAAGUUCUUUGGAAUAGGACAUCAUAGAGGGUGAGAAUCCCGUAUUUGACCAUUAUUUUCAGCUGUGUGAUACACUUUCAAAGAGUCGGAUUGUUUGGGAAUGCAGUCCAAAAUGGGUGGUAAAUUUCAUCUAAAGCUAAAUAUUGGCGAGAGACCGAUAGCGAACAAGUACCGUGAGGGAAAGAUGAAAAGAACUUUGAAAAGAGAGUUAAACAGUACGUGAAAUUGUCAAAAGGGAAGCGUUUGACACCAGUGUUGUUUUUCCGAAAAUCAAUUAUAAAAGGACUGGAUUUUAGUUGUCAUGACCUUAUAAGCUUGUUGCUUAUUUUUCAUGUCUUUCUUAAUGCACUUUUCGUUAACAAGUCAACAUCAAUUUCUUCUGUUGUAAAAGAGUAUUAGGAAGGUGGCUUUCUUUUCGGAGAAAGUGUUUAUAGCCUUGUACUUCUGCAAUCGGAGAGAUUGAGGUCUGCAGCGUAGAUCCUUCGGGGUUAGAUAGCAUUUGUGCUAAGUUAUAGCUUUCAUAGACAACUUGUUGAUUAUGAUUAAGUCAUUGUAGCUUACUCGCUUAUGCUAUUUUACCUACGCUUAGGAUGUUGACAGCAGUAUAGACUGU